AGAGUUUGAUCAUGGCUCAGGACGAACGCUGGCGGCGUGCCUAAUACAUGCAAGUCGAGCGGACGAAUCGAAAGCUUGCUUUUGAUUCGUUAGCGGCGGACGGGUGAGUAACACGUGGGCAACCUGCCCUGUAGACGGGGAUAACACCGAGAAAUCGGUGCUAAUACCGGAUAACACGAAAUGUCGCAUGACGUUUCGUUGAAAGACGGCGCAAGCUGUCGCUACAGGAUGGGCCCGCGGCGCAUUAGCUAGUUGGUGAGGUAACGGCUCACCAAGGCGACGAUGCGUAGCCGACCUGAGAGGGUGAUCGGCCACACUGGGACUGAGACACGGCCCAGACUCCUACGGGAGGCAGCAGUAGGGAAUCUUCCGCAAUGGACGAAAGUCUGACGGAGCAACGCCGCGUGAGCGAAGAAGGCCUUCGGGUCGUAAAGCUCUGUUGUUAGGGAAGAACAAGUAACGCAGUAACUGGCGUUACCCGUGACGGUACCUAACGAGAAAGCCACGGCUAACUACGUGCCAGCAGCCGCGGUAAUAC
This 538-nucleotide ribosomal RNA is filed under the name Bacillus sp. NR-1001. RNAcentral's name for it is "bacterial SSU rRNA". It matches the Rfam family "Bacterial small subunit ribosomal RNA", at positions 8 to 526 of the family's 1533-position model. The record is from RNAcentral. Lineage: Bacteria; Bacillati; Bacillota; Bacilli; Caryophanales; Bacillaceae.